GGACCCAUGGCGCAACGGUAGCGCGUCAGAUUCCAGUUCCUGGAACUUCCUGAAGGUGUACGUACUCUUAUCCUGCCUCCUCUUGCGAAUGCAAUAUCUAACCCCUUAACAGUAGGCGUUCGAAUCGCCUUGGGUUCA
Molecule: transfer RNA, 138 nt
Filed under: Akanthomyces lecanii RCEF 1005
Lineage: Eukaryota; Fungi; Ascomycota; Sordariomycetes; Hypocreales; Cordycipitaceae
Description: Cordyceps confragosa RCEF 1005 tRNA
Rfam family: tRNA
About the family: Transfer RNA (tRNA) molecules are approximately 80 nucleotides in length. Their secondary structure includes four short double-helical elements and three loops (D, anti-codon, and T loops).
Source: Rfam by way of RNAcentral